UAAAAGAGAGAGGAGCUUCCUGUCUCUUGUUCUUUUCUUCGCUCCCUCUUGACACCCACACACACUGCAUACCAGCACACCACGUGGCAGCCACAAGGCAGAGACACCAUCACAUUGCUCUGGGCAGCUCCUGCUCCCUCUCCCAGCUCAGCUCAGCUCUAAUAGGAGAAGACUGGAGGGAGCUGGAGGAAAGGCUCCACCUGUUUAUCUUCACCAUAGCUGCUGCAAAGAUCAGUAAUAACAGGAAGCCAGCCAGGAGUCUGCCUCUCCAGCUCGAAGGUGCUGAUCACCAAAGCCAGCGUGGAGCCCUUAAACUGCACUAGUUGGUGGCAGGCCAUAGAGUGCUGCAGUUGUUUGGUCAAGAAUGCGACCUGGCGAGAAGGAUUCCUCUGAGGCAGCCCUCUGGGCUCAGUUGGACAUCACCAUGGCAUGGAACUGGAGAGAAGAUAAAGUAGAGAGAGAUAGAUAUAAAUAUAUAUAUAUAUAUAUAUAUAUAUAUAUAUAUAUAUAUAUAUAUAUAUAUAUAAAGAAGCAGAGGUCAGUCAACUUUGUCUGUUUUCCUGUGUUCUCAACCAGAGAGACCUCUGGGAGACCCUAAAGGGUUUCCUCCCUUCUCCCUUUUUACUUUGUGCUUUGUGUUUCUGCUUGCCAAGCACUCAGCUGGUUUGGGUUGGGGCUUUUGGUUUUGGUGGGGAUGGGUGGUUGGGUUCUUUUUUGAGCUGAGGAAUGUACAAGGUCUGUGUUUCCUGACAACUUCUGCAGUUUCUAGGUUACCCAGGUUGCUGUCCAGGAGAAGUCACUUGUGGCCAGCAGGGAUGAGUAGAGGAAAACCAGGAGUAAGGACUGCACUCUGCAUUUCCUGAGGAAACAAGCACCUAAGCCAGGCAGUUGUCACAAUCAGCAGCCUAAGCUGGCCAAAUGUUUGCACAUAACCUUAAUAAAAAAGGCCCCCAGGAUGGAUGUCUUUUGCCUUACCAGCACAUGAAGACAACAAAUGGAAUCCUAUUUCUCUUGAGUGUGAACUGAGUGCCAGGUGGGGGUUGUCUAAAAGGAGGGGGAACAGUCAGCAGCAGGACGAGGAGGAAAAUGGUUUCAGAAGAAAAACCAAGCCCCUAAACCUGUCUGUGUGUGUGAAAUGUAGCAAAGCUCUGACAGCUUUCUCUGUACAGCAUCCAUAGGAUGGAGAGAGUUAGAAGUAUUUUUACAAGUGUCUAUUUCAUUAGUAGCAGAGUAGAGGUGUGAGUGAGGGGGAGCCUUUGGAAUGCCCAUUGGGGAUCUCCUCUAAAGGUGAGCAGUGAAUUCUGCUUUAUUUUUGAGCACAGUGAAUGGUUUCAAAGAGCAGAAAGGGUUCAAGAUCCAUUUCCAGUGCAAUCACUGCAAGAGUCUUUAAAGUGCAGGUAGGGUAGAAGAGGUUGGUUGGAACUCAGCUGCAUGGAGUUGUGCAGUGUGGGGAUCUUUUUCAUGUCCAUUUUAGUUCUCCUCUGAAGGUGGCAGUGAAUUCUUUUGGGGUUUGAGCAAAAUGAAAGGUUUUAAGUGGCAGAAAAUGUAAAAAUUCAACUUAAAAAGAAGUUUCUGCAAUAGGUUGGAAGAGGUUGUUUGGGAAGGGUUGUUUGGAACCCAACUGCACAGAGUUGUGAGUUAAGGGAACCUUUUGCAUGUCCACUUCAGUUUUUCUUUAAAGAUGGGAGUAAAUUUUGCUUCUGAGCAGAACAAACUGAUUUCAGUAGUAGAAAAAGCUUUAAGUUAAAUUAGCCACUGAAGCAUUCUUUAAAAUGCAGAUGGGUUACAAGUGGUUGUUUGGAACUCAGCUGCUUAGAAUUGUGAGUUAAGGGAACCUUUGGCAUGUCCACUUCAGUUCUCCUCUAAAGAUGGGAGUAAACUUUGGUUCUGAGCAGGACAAAAAGAUUUGAAUAGUAGAAAAGGUUUAAGUUAAAUUAAUCACUGAAAGGUUCUUUAAAAUGCAGGUGGGUCACAAGAGGUUGUUUGGGAAGGGUUGUUUGGAACUCUGCUGCAUAGAGUUGUCAGUUAAGGGAACCUCUUUAAUAUCCACUUCUCCUGCAAAGAUGGGAGUAAUUUUUUUUUUCCUGAACAAAAGGAUUUAAGGAAUAGAAUCUUUUGUUAAUUCCCUGACAAAGAAGUCACUGUAACAUUCUGUGAAAUGCAGAUGGCUUAGAAGAGGCUGUUUGGGAAGGAUGUGUGUGUGUGUGUGUGUGUGCAUCUCUGUUUUCUAGCCUGAUUGGCUAAGGAGCUGUUUUCUUUUAAAGAGACAUAAAUCCACAACAAGUAGUGCUUACAGUGCUGAAGAGAUCCAUUGGUGUUGCUGUGUACAGAUCCCAGUGGAGCUUAUCUAGCUUAAUUCUUUCCAUUCUCAAGAUCUCAGCUGGAGAGCAUUUACAACCACUCUGCACUGCAGCAUCUCCACCGAUGGCAUCACCUGUAGAAAAAACAUCUAUGACAGAAACUAAUAAAGCAGCCAACGUCCUA
This is a long non-coding RNA of Pogoniulus pusillus (Red-fronted tinkerbird), 2484 nucleotides long. RefSeq lists it as uncharacterized. The transcript is spliced from 3 exons. The record is from RefSeq and is a predicted model, not a curated record. NCBI's taxonomy places the organism in Eukaryota, Metazoa, Chordata, Aves, Piciformes, Lybiidae.